This is an unclassified non-coding RNA of Otolemur garnettii (small-eared galago), 102 nucleotides long. It matches the Rfam family "Y RNA". Rfam says of the family: Y RNAs are components of the Ro ribonucleoprotein particle (Ro RNP), in association with Ro60 and La proteins. The Y RNAs and Ro60 and La proteins are well conserved, but the function of the Ro RNP is not known. The record is from Ensembl. Lineage: Eukaryota; Metazoa; Chordata; Mammalia; Primates; Galagidae.
UGCUGCUACAAGUGUAGUGAUGUUUACAUCUAGUUAGUCACCACCAGUUAUCAAUUUCCUUGUUCUUUUUCCAUUCCCACUGCUGAACUUGAUUAGCCUACA